RNAcentral lists this ribosomal RNA (358 nucleotides) under uncultured eukaryote. Its description in RNAcentral is "LSU rRNA". It matches the Rfam family "Bacterial large subunit ribosomal RNA", at positions 2120 to 2478 of the family's 2925-position model. The record is from RNAcentral.
CUCUCAGCUUAUUUUGCGCAGCUUAGGUGGGAGGCUAUGAACCUUUUCUUCUGGGAAGAGGGGAGCCGUCAGUGAGAUACCACUCUUGGUAAGCUAGAGCGCUCAGUCUUAACCGUCAUCCGGUAAGACGACAGUUUCAGGCGGGCAGUUUGACUGGGGCAGUCACCUCCCAAACGGUAAUGGAGGUGUGCAAAGGUUCCCUCAGGCUGGACGGAAAUCAGCCAUAGAGUGUAAAAGCAAAAGGGAGCUUGACGGCGAGACUGACAUGUCAAGCAGAGACGAAAGUCGGCUUUAGUGAUCCGACGGUGCUGUGUGGAAAGGCCGUCGCUCAACGGAUAAAAGUUACUCUAGGGAUAAC